GAUUCCCUCUUUAAACAUUUUCACACCCAAAAAAAAUUCCCUCCCAACCCAAUUCCUCUUCCAAUUUCAAACUCCCCCUCAUUUUUUUUGCUUGUAUUCCUCGCCUUCCUUUUUCUUCCCUACAUUGAUUUCCUUUCAACUAGAUCCACUCCCAACCAAAUGCGCAGAAGUUGAAGAUUGCCCGUGAGAGGAAUCUGGACAAGCUUAAGCUUCUUCCAAAGGAAAUGCGUAGAACCCUAAUUCUUCUUUCUCUUUCUAAUUCGUUCUGAUUUCACCCUUCUGAUUGAUUGAUAUGUGUACAGGUAGUGAACUUGAAGCCAACAAAAAAGCUAUGAAGAUCCAGUUUCGGUAGGUGAGUUGUGGACGUUUCUCCAAGGUGUUUCGAUCACACUCGCUAAUCGCUAAAGCCGCCAGUCACCCCUACUUCGAGUGACUACCAUCACACCACCGCAGGUUCGUGUGAUCGUGUCGUGUUUUCGGGUCGUGUCAGAGUGCUAAACCUUAUGCAGUUGCUGUGUUUUCCACAUGCUAUGUUGAUGUUUUA
Molecule: long non-coding RNA, 544 nt
Organism: Helianthus annuus (common sunflower)
Lineage: Eukaryota; Viridiplantae; Streptophyta; Magnoliopsida; Asterales; Asteraceae
Exons: 3
Source: RefSeq, a predicted model, not a curated record